Molecule: ribosomal RNA, 1438 nt
Filed under: metagenome
Description: bacterial SSU rRNA
Rfam family: Archaeal small subunit ribosomal RNA
Source: RNAcentral
ACCCGUUGAUCCUGCGGGGGAUUGCUGCUAUUGGAGUUCGACUAAGCCAUGCAAGUCAGGGGGCCUUCGGGUCACCGGCGGAUCGCUCAGUAACACGUCAAUAAUCUGCCCUGUGGUAGAGGAUAGCCUUGGGAAACUGAGGGUAAAACUCUAUAGAAGAUUUGUUCUGGAAACGAUUUAUCUUCCAAAACUUCGGUGCCAUAGGAUGAGUUGGCGGCUGAUUAGGCUGUUGGUGAGGUAAAGGCUCACCAAACCUUAGAUCAGUAGGGGCCAUGAGAGUGGUAGCCCCGAGAAGGUCACUGAGAUACUGGACCUAGCCCUACGGGGUGCAGCAGGCGCGUAACCUUUACAAUGCACUAACGUGUGAUAAGGGAACUCCAAGUGCUUAUGCUCUGCAUAGGCUUUUGCCAAGAUUGAAACCCUUGGCGAAUAAGUGGUGGGUAAGACUGGUGCCAGCAGCCGCGGUAACACCAGCGCCGCAAGUGGUGAUCGUUUUUAUUGGGCCUAAAGCAUUCGUAGCUGGUCCAACAAGUCUCUUGUGAAAUCGAGGAGCUUAACUCAUCGGAAUGCAGGAGAUACUGUUGGGCUUGGGACUGGGAGGAGUGAGAGGAAUUUAAGGGGAAGCGGUAAAAUGCUAUAAUCCCUUAAAGACCAUCGAUGGCGAAGGCAUCUCACCAGAACAGAUCCGACAGUGAGGGAUGAAAGCCAGGGGAGCAAACCGGAUGAGAUACCCGAGUAGUCCUGGCCGUAAACGCUGUGAGCUAGGUGUUGCAUAUUCUUCGGGAAUGUGCAGUAUCGUAGUGAAGACGUUAAGCUCACCGCCUGGGAAGUAUGGUCGCAAGAUUGAAACUUAAAGGAAUUGGCGGGGGAGCACUACAAGGGAUGCGGCGUGCGGUUUAAUCUAACUCCACGCAGAGAAUCUCACCAGAAGCGACGGCAGAAUGAAGGACAAGCUGAAGACUUUUCCUGACGAGCCGAGAGGUAGUGCAUGGCCGCCGUCAGCUCGUGCCGUAAGGUGUCCAGUUAAGUCUGGUAACGAGCAAGACCUGUAUCUACAAUUGCCAGCGGGUAAUUUUUUACGACCGGGCAUAUUGUAGGGACUGCCUUGGAAACAAGGAGGAAGGUGCAGGCAACGGUAGGUCUGUAUGCUCCGAAUCUUCUGGGCUACACGCGCGCAACAAUGGUAAGGACAAUGGGAUGCCACUCCGAAAGGAGAAGCUAAACCUCGAAACCUUAUCUCAGUACAGAUUGAGGCUUGUAACUCAGCCUCAUGACGAUGGAAUCCCUAGUAAUCGGAUUUUAUCAUAGUCCGGUGAAUGUGUCCCUGCUCCUUGCACACACCGCUCGUCAAACCAACCGAGCAGGGUUUAGAUGAGCAUUGGCAUUUUAGCCCGUUCGAAUCUAAGCUCAGUGAGGUGGGUUAAGUCGUCACAAGGUC